Molecule: ribosomal RNA, 469 nt
Filed under: uncultured Campylobacterota bacterium
Lineage: Bacteria; Pseudomonadati; Campylobacterota
Description: bacterial SSU rRNA
Rfam family: Bacterial small subunit ribosomal RNA
Source: RNAcentral
AGUGAACGCUGGCGGCGUGCUUAACACAUGCAAGUCGAACGAGAAACGGAUUUAGCUUGCUAAAUUGCAGUCUAAGUGGCGCACGGGUGAGUAAUGUAUAGGUAACAUGCCUUCUACUAGGGGAUAACAGUUGGAAACGACUGCUAAUACCCUAUAUUCCUUAUUAGCACAAGUGUGUAAGGGAAAGAUUCAUUGGUAGAAGAGUUGGGCUAUAUUGUAUCAGCUAGUUGGUAGUGUAAUGGACUACCAAGGGUAUGACGCAUAACUGGUUUGAGAGGAUGAUCCAUCCCCACCGGAACUGAGACACGGUCCAGACUCCUACGGGAGGGGAGCAGUGGGGAGGGUUAUACAAUCAGCGAAAGCCUCAUGCAGCAACACCGCGUGGAGGAUGACACAUUUCGGUGCGUAAACUCCUUUUAUAUGGGAAGAUAAUGACGGUACCAUAUGAAUAAGCACCGGCUAACUCCGU